AGCAGCCGCGGUAAUUCCAGCUCCAAUAGCGUAUAUUAAAGUUGUUGCAGUUAAAAAGCUCGUAGUUGAAUUUCGGGAUCAAUACGUCGGUCGUGCUUCGGUACGUACUGGCGUAAUUGAUUUCUCCCUUCUGACGAACCAUGAUGUCAUUAACUUGGUGUCAUGGGAAAUCAGGACUGUUACUUUGAAAAAUUAGAGUGUUUAAAGCAGGCUUUAGCUUGAAUACAUUAGCAUGGAAUAAUGAAAUAGGACGUUUGAUCCUAUUUUGUUGGUUUCUAGGAUUGACGUAAUGAUUAAUAGGGAUAGUUGGGGGCAUUAGUAUUCAAUUGUCAGAGGUGAAAUUCUUGGAUUUAUUGAAGACUAACUACUGCGAAAGCAUUUGCCAAGGAUGUUUUCAUUAAUCAAGAACGAAAGUUAGGGGAUCGAAGACGAUCAGAUACCGUCGUAGUC
This 450-nucleotide ribosomal RNA is filed under the name uncultured Glomus. Its description in RNAcentral is "SSU rRNA". It matches the Rfam family "Eukaryotic small subunit ribosomal RNA", at positions 569 to 1025 of the family's 1831-position model. The record is from RNAcentral. Lineage: Eukaryota; Fungi; Glomeromycota; Glomeromycetes; Glomerales; Glomeraceae.